UAGCGGUGUGCAAGGCUUCCAAGAGCCAUGA
RNAcentral lists this non-coding RNA (31 nucleotides) under Homo sapiens (human). The record is from RNAcentral. Lineage: Eukaryota; Metazoa; Chordata; Mammalia; Primates; Hominidae.